AUGGACGGCAACAAGAAGCUUGUGAUGGGCGCUCUACAAUGCCUGCUUCACCUUGGGCCACGCGGUCACCUACGCACUCCUCCAGGUACUCUACGCAACUACAACAGCUUCGCUGGAUGCUGGACAUUCCGAAUUUCCGAUGGAUUCAUCAUGUUGAUGCUUGGGUGUGGACCGUGGUGUGGUGUUGGUCUGCGUGGGGGUGGGUGCAGUCCUCCUUCGCCCUGCGGUGCGUCCAGUGGACGGACACCAAGGCCGCCCAGGAGAGCGCCCUCUGUCUCUGGAUGCUGCGCUGCGCCGUACUCCAGGUGGCCGCGGCGGCGCUGGCGUUGCACCUGUCGUGCCGCCGCCGCUGGGUCCGCCGCGCCCUGGCCUACCUCGCGCUCAUGGUCGCCUUCGUCGCCCACUGCAUGUACGUCGCCGCCGUCCGCCUCCUCCUCGCCGCUGACUGCCCUGGAUACGUCUUGCUCUGGAUACGUCUUGCUCAGGAUCUUGUGCACCGCGUACAUCGCCUUCUUCCUAGGGGGCGACCUGCUCUGCUUCCUGGGCCUCAUCCUGGGAGGUGACAACUGA
Molecule: ribosomal RNA, 570 nt
Filed under: Triticum aestivum (bread wheat)
Lineage: Eukaryota; Viridiplantae; Streptophyta; Magnoliopsida; Poales; Poaceae
Description: partial small subunit ribosomal RNA
Source: RNAcentral